GGCAUACCCAACUUUGAAUCCAAAGGAGGCUGCCGUCCUUUCCUGAAGAUCUACCAGGCCAUGCAACCAGUCUAUACGUCGGGAAUAUACAAUGUCCAAGGAGACAGCAACACCAGUAUCUGCAUCACCAUUGAACCCGGCCUGCUUCUAAAGGGAGACAUCCUGUUGAAGUGUUACCACAAGAGGUUCAGAAACCCCC
Long non-coding RNA from Perca fluviatilis (European perch), 199 nucleotides. RefSeq lists it as uncharacterized. The transcript is spliced from 4 exons. The record is from RefSeq and is a predicted model, not a curated record. NCBI's taxonomy places the organism in Eukaryota, Metazoa, Chordata, Actinopteri, Perciformes, Percidae.